CGGCGGACGGGUGAGUAACGCGUGGGUAACCUGCCUUACACAGAGGGAUAACAGUUAGAAAUGACUGCUAAUACCGCAUAAGACCCCGGUACCGCAUGGUACAGAGGUAAAAACUGAGGUGGUGUAAGAUGGACCCGCGUCUGAUUAGGUAGUUGGUGAGGUAACGGCUCACCAAGCCGACGAUCAGUAGCCGGCCUGAGAGGGUGGACGGCCACAUUGGGACUGAGACACGGCCCAGACUCCUACGGAAGGCAGCAG
This 258-nucleotide ribosomal RNA is filed under the name uncultured bacterium. Its description in RNAcentral is "partial 16S ribosomal RNA". It matches the Rfam family "Bacterial small subunit ribosomal RNA", at positions 96 to 354 of the family's 1533-position model. The record is from RNAcentral.